Long non-coding RNA from Cheilinus undulatus (humphead wrasse), 839 nucleotides. RefSeq lists it as uncharacterized. The record is from RefSeq and is a predicted model, not a curated record. Lineage: Eukaryota; Metazoa; Chordata; Actinopteri; Labriformes; Labridae. The transcript has 3 exons.
AAAGAUGGAUUUGCCAGUGAAAAACAAAGAAAGGGGCGUAUCCAUCUGCUUUGCAAGAUCUUGCCAUCCAGUGUGCCCACAGCCACGCUCCCACGACUGUUGACCAUGCGUGCUGCUGAUCUCCACUCGUUGUACUCGGGACAGAACUGCUCUACCAGACAGGAGGGGUCAUCACUCUGCAAAUCAAGACUUCUGUUCCUGUCUCAAGCAGCACCUUGGUGUCAGUUUGAUUUCUGGCCUACAAGCUGCUCUGUUCCCUGCAGUCUGUCCUCAAACUUCUGCCUGUCACAGCUCUCUGCUCCAAAGGACGUUGGACUUGACCGCUUGGAGGCGUAAAAACCUCCUCCCCCCUUAGCAACACCACCAGCCCCCCCACAGUGAUUCAUCCUGCCACUGUCCAUGCAGCCCUGAAACCCAAGACUCCUCUCACACACCCCAUUCAGAGCUUCCUUUGACAACUGUCAGGGCAAAGGAAUUAUUGGAAUGGUCUUAAUUUUAGGCUUGAAUCAGACUCCUUCAGCGCCCUUAAGUUGUGUGUCAUUGGUGUAAGUUUAGACUGAGGACAGGUGGCCAUGCCCCUUAGAUGGUCAGCAGAUUCAAGGGGAGCUCAAGGAUACAAUACUAUUACCAUUAUCUAGUCACAAUAUAUUACUUUUAUAUUUUUUAUAUUUCUUGAAAAAAGGUUUAAAGGUUGUAUUGAUUAUCUUUGUCUUUGCUGUAUUCAAUUGAAUAUCGUUUGAACAGGUUUUGCAAAUUACUGAAUUCUGUUGUAAUGCACAUUUUACACAAUGUCCCAACUUUUUGGGAAACUUGAGGGUUUUUUUCUAUCAAAUAAACAA